This 429-nucleotide ribosomal RNA is filed under the name Bacteroidota bacterium. RNAcentral's name for it is "Bacteroidetes bacterium partial 16S ribosomal RNA". It matches the Rfam family "Bacterial small subunit ribosomal RNA", at positions 355 to 776 of the family's 1533-position model. The record is from RNAcentral. Lineage: Bacteria; Pseudomonadati; Bacteroidota.
UAGGGAAUCUUCCGCAAUGGGCGAAAGCCUGACGGAGCAACGCCGCGUGAGUGAUGAAGGUCUUCGGAUCGUAAAACUCUGUUAUUAGGGAAGAAUAAAUGUGUAAGUAACUAUGCACGUCUUGACGGUACCUAAUCAGAAAGCCACGGCUAACUACGUGCCAGCAGCCGCGGUAAUACGUAGGUGGCAAGCGUUGUCCGGAUUUAUUGGGCGUAAAGCGAGCGCAGGCGGUCAAUUAAGUCUGAUGUGAAAGCCCCCGGCUCAACCGGGGAGGGUCAUUGGAAACUGGUUGACUUGAGUGCAGAAGAGGAGAGUGGAAUUCCAUGGGUAGCGGUGAAAUGCGUAGAUAUAUGGAGGAACACCAGUGGCGAAGGAGACUCUCUGGUCUGUAACUGACGCUGAGGCUCGAAAGCGUGGGUAGCAAACAGG